This is a non-coding RNA of Pelobates cultripes (western spadefoot toad), 820 nucleotides long. The record is from the annotation of a GenBank genome assembly. NCBI's taxonomy places the organism in Eukaryota, Metazoa, Chordata, Amphibia, Anura, Pelobatidae.
GUUUAGGGGUGCAGUGUGUGUGUGAGGGGUGUUGUGUGUAUGUGUAUAUAUAUAUAUAUAUAUAUAUAGUUUAUAUAAAUAUGUUUGGAAGUAUUGUGUAUGUGUGUGAUGCAGUGUAUUGGGGGGUUGUGUGUAUGUGAGGGGUUCAGUAUGUGUGUGAGGGUGCUGUGUGUGUGAGGGUGCUGUGUAUGAUGAGUGUGAGAGUGUUGUGUGUGUGAUGUGUGUGAGUGCUGAGUGUGAUAGUGCUGUGUAUGAUGUGUGAUGUGUGUGAGAGUGAUGUGUGAGAGUGCUGUGUGUGAGUGUUGUGUGUUAUGUGUGUGAGUGCUGAGUGUGAUAGUGCUGUGUAUGAGUGUUGAGUGUGAUAGUGCUGUGUAUGAUGUGUGUGAGUGCUGAGUGUGAUGUGUGUGAGAGUGAUGUGCCUGAGUGCUGUGUGUGAGAGUGUUGUGUGAUGUGUGUGAGAGUGCUGAGUGUGAGAGUGCUGAGUGUGAGAGUGCUGAGUGUGAAAGUGCUGUGUGUGAAAGUGCUAUGAUGUGUGUGAGAGUGCUGCAAUGUGUGAGAUUGCUGUGUAUGAUGUGUGUGAGAGUGCUAUGAUGUGUGUGAGAGUGCUAUGAUGUGUGUGAGAGUGAUGUGUGAGAGUGCUGUGUGUGAGUGUUGUGUGUUAUGUGUGUGAGUGCUGAGUGUGAUAGUGCUGUGUAUGAUGUGUGUGAGAGUGCUGCUGAGUGUGAUGUGUGUGAGAGUGAUGUGCCUGAGUGCUGUGUGUGAGAGUGUUGUGUGAUGUGUGUGAGAGUGCUGAGUGUGAAAGUGCUGUGUGUGAAAGUGC